GCCGGGGUGGCUUAGUUGGUAGAGCGUCGGACUCAUAAUCCGAAGGUCGCGGGUUCGAGCCCCGCUCCCGGCACCA
Molecule: transfer RNA, 76 nt
Filed under: Methanobacteriota archaeon
Lineage: Archaea; Methanobacteriati; Methanobacteriota
Also listed under: 2 other names
Description: Euryarchaeota archaeon tRNA-Met
Rfam family: tRNA
About the family: Transfer RNA (tRNA) molecules are approximately 80 nucleotides in length. Their secondary structure includes four short double-helical elements and three loops (D, anti-codon, and T loops).
Source: RNAcentral